ACCCGCUGAACUUAAGCAUAUCAAUAAGCGGAGGAAAAGAAACCAACAGGGAUUGCCUUAGUAACGGCGAGUGAAGCGGCAAAAGCUCAGAUUUGAAAUCUAGCGUCUUAUAGGCGUUCGAGUUGUAAUCUGUAGAGAAGUUAUCGAGUGUGGAUUUGGCUUAAGUUCUUUGGAACAGGACGUCAUAGAGGGUGAGAACCCCGUACACGGCCUUUGUCUUAUACUCAUGUGAGGCUUCUUCAACGAGUCGAGUUGUUUGGGAAUGCAGCUCUAAAUGGGUGGUAAAUUCCAUCUAAAGCUAAAUACUGGCAAGAGACCGAUAGCGCACAAGUAGAGUGAUCGAAAGAUGAAAAGAACUCUGAACAGAGAGUUAAAUAGUACGUGAAAUUGUUGAAAGGGAAGCACUUGCUACCAGACUCGCUUGCAGUUAAUCAACUAUCCUUCUGGGUGGUGCACUUUUCUGUAGGCGGGCCAGCAUCAGUUGUGUUGGUGGGAUAAAGGCAGUUGGAAUGUGGCUCUCUUCGGAGAGUGUUAUAGACUUCUGUGUAAUACCAUCUAACGCGACUGAGGUCAGCGCUUCGGCGAGGAUGCUGGCAUAAUGGUCGU
Molecule: ribosomal RNA, 606 nt
Filed under: uncultured fungus
Lineage: Eukaryota; Fungi
Description: eukaryotic LSU rRNA
Rfam family: Eukaryotic large subunit ribosomal RNA
Source: RNAcentral